GCGCGUGUAGCUCAGGGGUUAGAGCGGUUGUCUUAUAAACAACAGGUCCCUGGUUCGAAUCCAGGCACGCGCA
Molecule: transfer RNA, 73 nt
Filed under: Candidatus Wolfebacteria bacterium
Lineage: Bacteria; Candidatus Wolfeibacteriota
Description: tRNA-Ile
Rfam family: tRNA
About the family: Transfer RNA (tRNA) molecules are approximately 80 nucleotides in length.
Source: RNAcentral